Molecule: ribosomal RNA, 254 nt
Filed under: uncultured bacterium
Lineage: Bacteria
Description: partial 16S ribosomal RNA
Rfam family: Bacterial small subunit ribosomal RNA
Source: RNAcentral
UACGGGGGGGGCAAGCGUUGUUCGGAAUUACUGGGCGUAAAGGGCGCGUAGGCGGUUCGCUAAGUUGAAUGUGAAAACUCUGGGCUUAACCCAGAGCCUGCAUUCAAUACUGGCGGGCUAGAGUUCUGGAGGGGAUAGCGGAAUUCCUGGUGUAGCGGUGAAAUGCGUAGAUAUCAGGAGGAACACCGGUGGCGAAGGCGGGUUGCUGGGCCGACACUGACGCUGACAGCGCGAAAGCUAGGGGAGCGAACGGG